UACGUAGGGGGCGAGCGUUGUCCGGAAUCAUUGGGCGUAAAGCGCGUGUAGGCGGCCCGGUAAGUCCGCUGUGAAAGUCCAGGGCUCAACCCUGGGAUGCCGGUGGAUACUGUCGGGCUCGAGUCCGGAAGAGGCGAGUGGAAUUCCUGGUGUAGCGGUGAAAUGCGCAGAUAUCAGGAAGAACACCCGUGGCGAAGGCGGGUCUCUGGGCAGUGAACUGACGCUGAGGAGCGAAAGCGUGGGGAGCGAACAGG
This 254-nucleotide ribosomal RNA is filed under the name uncultured bacterium. Its description in RNAcentral is "partial 16S ribosomal RNA". It matches the Rfam family "Bacterial small subunit ribosomal RNA", at positions 524 to 776 of the family's 1533-position model. The record is from RNAcentral.